This is an RNA transcript of Xyrauchen texanus (razorback sucker), 2469 nucleotides long. It is a transcript of the gene named chemokine-like protein TAFA-1, with no coding region annotated. The transcript has 6 exons. Lineage: Eukaryota; Metazoa; Chordata; Actinopteri; Cypriniformes; Catostomidae. The record is from RefSeq and is a predicted model, not a curated record.
GACCAAGCGCAUGAGAGAGAGAGAGAGAGCUGCAAAGGAGAAGUGCAGUUGUAUGUGCAGGACCCUCUGUCUGUGGGCAAAAAGUGAAGAGGCAAAUUAGCUUGUUAUCCCCCAAAGAAGCUUCACCGUCACAGAGAAGAGAUAGGAGGCAGAGAAGAACACGUUGGUUCUCUGCGGAUUUAAAGGUGACAUGACAAGCCUCUUGUCUCUCAAAUCUCUGCUUGUUUCUGACAGCGUUUCACAGCUGUGAGGGGAGAAUUUGGUGUUGGGUGCUUGACUCUGUUCACAGGAUUGCUGGAGGACUUACAACAAGAGGGGAUCGAGGGCAGGAGAACGAACAAGAGUCUCCUAAUCCCCCCUCUGACCUACAGAUCCAAACAACAACUUUGCUGGGAACAUCUUUCCCGAGAGCAUGGAUGGAUAUACAACAAUGUGCUGAGGAUUUUGUUCAGGAAUAUUGACAGCACACUCCUUUGACACUCUCCUGACAACAUUUCACAGCCAGUGUUCCUGCCAUGUCCUGGUUCUUGUGUCUGUGGAUAAGUGUUAGCUGCUUACUGCUGUGCCACGCCACUUUGUUCGAGACCAUCCAGCAGCAUCAUGUGACCCGCCCAGGCCACAACGCCAUACAGAUACUGGAGGGAGGAACGUGCGAGGUCAUCGCAGCACACAGAUGUUGCAACAAGAACCGAAUUGAGGAGCGCUCCCAAACAGUCAAGUGCUCGUGUUUACCGGGAAAAGUGGCCGGCACGACACGGAACAAACCCUCCUGUGUAGACGCCUCCAUCGUGAUUGGGAAAUGGUGGUGUGAGAUGGAGCCGUGUCUGGAGGGAGAGGAGUGUAAGACACUACCAGACAACUCCGGCUGGAUGUGUUCCUCUGGAAACAAAAUCAAGACCACAAGGAACACCCAGCCAUAUUCAAGUUUUUAGCUCUGAGGGCCACACAGGCUGGCUCACCAGAAGCUCAGCGGCAUCCUUCGUCUCAUUAAGAUUCAUCCCCGGACCUAACAAAGUGCUCCUUCACAGGCAGUGAAUGUGGAUUCUAUCCAUGAUCUGAUCUAUGUCAAAAUGGACUAAACCAUUGCAUCUAAGGGGUAUUUGAGUGGAUUACCUGUGAAUGAACAUAAAAAGGACAUUCUUAGAAAUGAUUUGCUAAUUUGGUGCCAAGGAAUAUUUAAAAAAUAAUUGAAAUAAAGUAGGCUAAUCUGUGUUUUUUGAUCAGUGAGCCCAUAGCCGUGGACUCCAGUAGCCAUGUUCAAUUCUCUCCAAUUCUCUUCCUCUGAAUUUGAACAGCUUAGUGGGGCCGUUUACUGGAUUUAAAAUUAUUUUUGAAGACUUUACCACACCUUAGGUAAACUGGACAAUCCCGAUAUAAGCUGUGAACGACUGUACAGAGGAUCACGGAGGAUAAGCACUGGUCUAAGAAAAUGAGGUGGAAAUCAAUAAGAGAUUUGCAGUCCACAAGUUUUUUCAUUCCUCUAUCAUUUUGUCAUUUCGCUAUCCAUGCUGGCUUUGUUAAUAGACUGGGAGCUUGUGAAGCCCUGCUAUUUGUCCCUACUUCAGAUUUCCCGCUCACCAUUAGAGCCCACGCACUGUCUGUUUGGAAUGGCCCCAUGGUCAAAGGUCACCUUACUGUCUACACCAACUUUGGCCAGAUAUCUUUUUAUUUGUUGGCAUGCUCAAUGUAUUUUGUGGGAGCUUUGUAUUGAAAUUAACUGUAUAUAUUUCUGUACAUACACAUACAGUAUAGAUACAUAUUAAAAGAUGUCAUACGAAGACCUAACAUGCCCUUAAACCUGUUUAAUGGGUUUAAAUUUAGAUAAAUGACCGUAUUCAUGGUUUGGUUCCAUAAGAAGUACAAAUAAUCCCCAGUUUAAGGCUUUCUGUGAAAAAUACAUGUUCUCUUGGUGUAGUGGAUAUUCUACAGUUUUUGCCUGAAAGGAGAUUCUAAUCUUGUUCCAUUGCAUCCUUGAUGAAAAAACGAAGAUGCAUGUAUGAUAGAGGCUGGCCCUAAAAAGGCCACAGCCAUUGGAACACAGAUUGCCAUUGAUAGGCAGUUCUUAUUCAAAUUCAGUCCAUGCUCCGAGUUUGUUCCAUGCUGUUUUGAGAAUAGGUAGACAUCAUCAUGCUUGUGUAGUUUUCAUAAAGACAACACAAUAGAAGACAUUCUGCUUGUUAAAGGUAUGCUGUAAUAAUCAAGCAUUGAAUCUGUAUUUUAGUUUGGUAGGAUCACAUCUAGAUAAUGCUUGGCACAAUUACAAUUAUCUAUUGUGCCUCCACAUGAAUUUUCAGGGGAAUUACCAUUCAAAUAUGUUAUUCUCACUGUUAUUCUCAUUAAAAAUGUUUUUGCUUUGUUGUGUAAUGUGUUUUCCAAGAUGAAGGAGAGCAGGGAAAUUAAUGGGCUUCAUUUCUCUUUUCUGGCAUCCGUACAGACAUGCAAGUAGCCCUGGUAGAUAAACAUGCAGCC